Molecule: ribosomal RNA, 525 nt
Filed under: Triticum aestivum (bread wheat)
Lineage: Eukaryota; Viridiplantae; Streptophyta; Magnoliopsida; Poales; Poaceae
Description: partial small subunit ribosomal RNA
Source: RNAcentral
AUGAUGUUGUUGAGUGUCUAUUCAAUGAUGACUAUUAUGCGGGCUAGAACUGGCUUGCUUUGGAACACUGACUUCCGCUAUAUGCCAGCGUCACUCCCUGGGGCAGAAGGUUAUUUCACAGCUAUUUACACCGACUCUCAUCAUGAGGACUCGCUACUUCGCACUACCGCACAGAUGCUUGAGGAUAAGGACCGUGAAAAUCGUGCCUUGCGAUUGGAGCUUUUCAACUCCCGGUCUGAUCACUGGGACACUUUGACCCGGUUUGCACCUGCUGUGCAGGCUGGGUAUAUGGAUAUGCGGGAUCUGUACCCCGUGCGGUCUAGUCUGCUGGAUCAUAUGGAUUGUCGUGAUGUAGGGGGCAUCACUCCUCCCCAUGGACCUCUUCUGUCACCAUUUGUUGGUCCCAGGCCACAUCUGUGUCCCUAUGGACUGCAGGCUCCACAGGAUCGACUGUUUCCAGAUGAUCACGUCCAGCUUCCAGGACAUGGGGGUAAUCUCUACGAAGAUUACUACGGAGAUGUUUGA